Long non-coding RNA from Oncorhynchus tshawytscha (Chinook salmon), 2727 nucleotides. Lineage: Eukaryota; Metazoa; Chordata; Actinopteri; Salmoniformes; Salmonidae. The record is from Ensembl.
ACCCUGAGCCCCACCACAACUACUACCCUGAACCCUGAACCCCACCACAACUACAGCACAACACCCUGAACCCCACCACAACACAACUACACCAAAAUACACUGAACCUCACCACAACUAAACCACAAGCACCCUGAGCCCCACCACAACUACACCAAACAGCCUGGACCCCACCACAACUACACCACAAACACCCUGAGCCCCACCACAACUACACCAAACAGCCUGAACCCCACCACAACUACACCACAAACACCCUGAGCCUCACCAAAACACAACUACACCACAACACCCUGAACCCCACCACAACACAACUACACCACCACACAAUAUCCUAAACCCCACCACUACACAACAACACCCUGAACCCCACCACUACACAACUAUACAACUAUACCACAAUACCCUGAACCCCACCACAACUACACCACAACACCCUGAACCCCACCACAAUACCCUGAACCCCACCACCACCACCACCACAAUACCCUGAACCCCACCACAACUACACCACAACACCCUGAACCCCACCACUACACCAAAACACCCUGGACCCCACCACAACUACACCACAACACCCUGGACCCCACCACAACUACACCACAACACCCUGGACCCCACCACAACUACAACACAACACCCUGGACCCCAACACGACUACAACACAACACCCUGGACCCCACCACGACUACAACACAACACCCUGGACCCCACUACAACACAACACAACACCCUGGACCCCACCACAACUACAACACAACACCCUGGACCCCACCACAACUACACCACAACACCCUGAACCCCACCACGACUACACCACAACACCCUGGACCCCACCACAACUACAACACAACACCCUGGACCCCACCACGACUACAACACAACACCCUGGACCCCACCACGACUACAACACAACAUCCUGGACCCCACUACAACACAACACAACACCCUGGACCCCACCACAACUACAACACAACACCCUGGACCCCACCACAACUACACCACAACACCCUGAACCCCACCACGACUACACCACAACACCCUGGACCCCACCACAACUACAACACAACACCCUGGACCCCACCACGACUACAACACAACACCCUGGACCCCACCACAACUACAACGCAACACAACACCCUGGACCCCACCACGACUACAACACAACACCCUGAACCCCACCACAACUAUACCACAACACACUGGAUGCCACCACGACAACACCACAACACACUGGACGUCACCACGACUACACCACAACACCCUGGACCCUACCACAACACAACUACACCACAACACACUGGAUGCCACCACGACGACACCACAACACCCUGGACCCCACCACAACUACACCACAACACCCUGGACCCCACCACAACACAACUACACCACAACACACUGGAUGCCACCACGACUACACCACAACACCCUGGACCCCACUACAACUACAACACAACACCCUGGACCCCACCACAACUACACCACAACACCCUGGACCCCACCACAACUACACCACAACACCCUGGACCCCACCACAACUACACCACAACACCCUGGACCCCACCACAACUACAACACAACACCCUGGACCCCACCACGACUACAACACAACACCCUGGACCCCACCACAACACAACACCCUGGACCCCACCACACACACAACACCCUGGACCCCACCACAACUACACCACAACACCCUGGACCCCACCACAACUACAACACAACACCCUGGACCCCACUAUGACUACAACACAACACCCUGGACCCCACCACGACUACAACACAACACCCUGGACCCCACCACAACUACAACACAACACAACACCCUGGACCCCACCACGACUACAACACAAACACCCUGAACCCCACCACAACUACACCACAACACCCUGAACCCCACCACGACUACACCACAACACCCUGGACCCCACCACAACUACAACACAACACCCUGAACCCCACCACAACUACAACACAACACCCUGGACCCCACCACAACUACACCACAACACCCUGAACCCCACCACAACUACACCACAACACCCUGAACCCCACCACGACUACACCACAACACCCUGGACCCCACCACAACUACAACACAACACCCUGGACCCCACCAUGACUACAACACAACACCCUGGACCCCACCACAACUACAACACAACACAACACCCUGGACCCCAACACAACACAACACCCUGGACCCCACCACAACUACAACACAACACCCUGGACCCCACCACGACUACACCACAACACCCUGGACCCCACCACAGCUACAACACAACACCCUGAACCCUACCACGACUACACCACAACACACUGUACCCCACCACAACUACACCACAACACCCUGGACCCCACCACAACUACAACACAACACAACACUCUGGACCCCACCACAACUACACCACAACACACUGGACCCUAUGAACCACACGGUCUUCUUCAGUAGGCAGUAAACAGAAGAAGGUUAUUAAAAAAUGAGAGGUUCUGAAUUUUUCCAAUGACAAACAAAAAAAUAUAUAAUUCUGUUGCGAACUGUUUUUCUACAGUCUGACUUCCUGAACACGACCCUGGUAAACACCCUGGACCUACUGGUCACUACAGGUGUCUGAUCAAUACAGACUGAUUGAUCACUACUGAUAAAUGAUCAAUUGAUCAGUUGGACUCUUGCUGAUCUGCACCGCAAUCUCCUACUCGGGUGGAGGGAGGGGAGUGUGUGGG